This 21-nucleotide non-coding RNA is filed under the name Caenorhabditis elegans. Lineage: Eukaryota; Metazoa; Nematoda; Chromadorea; Rhabditida; Rhabditidae. The record is from RNAcentral.
UCACUAGACAGUAUUUUAUGG